This 76-nucleotide transfer RNA is filed under the name Thalassolituus oleivorans. RNAcentral describes it as "tRNA-Asn". It matches the Rfam family "tRNA". From Rfam's summary of the family: Transfer RNA (tRNA) molecules are approximately 80 nucleotides in length. Their secondary structure includes four short double-helical elements and three loops (D, anti-codon, and T loops). The record is from RNAcentral. RNAcentral also lists the same sequence under 18 other names. Lineage: Bacteria; Pseudomonadati; Pseudomonadota; Gammaproteobacteria; Oceanospirillales; Oceanospirillaceae.
UCCCCGAUAGCUCAGUCGGUAGAGCAGUAGACUGUUAAUCUAUUGGUCGUUGGUUCAAGUCCAACUCGGGGAGCCA